UGCCGGAGUUUUGAAACCGGAGUUGCACACUUCUCUUCAAACUCUUUAACAAUAUCCAUUGCUUUAGCCCACUUGCAGGAGUUCUGCAUCCAGUGACGCACCACCAGAACCACCGCCGCAGUCACCGCGGCGGCACCCACCACCGCCGCCGCUACCGCUACCUUACCCAUGAUCUCAAAUUAAAGAAAGAUGAUUUUUUGAAAAAAAGAUUGAAUUUUUUUGGGUUUAAUUGGGGAUUUGAUGGUAAAGAUUUGAACUUUGUUGAGUUUGGUUUGUGGGUUAUGAAAGCGGGAUUGAUUCUGAUGAUCUGAAUAGAUUUAGGAACAAGAACGAGUGUUCGUGAGGAUGGUUCGUUCGUUGGGGGCAACCAAGACUGUGAGGACGAAGACUGUUAUUAUGGAACGGAUCUCUGACCUUUUUUCGAAACUUGAUUUUGAUUUUGGAUCUGGACGAUCUGGGCCGAUGUGAACCUAUGAAGAAGGAGCAACGAAGAAACAGAGAAAUCA
Molecule: long non-coding RNA, 506 nt
Filed under: Helianthus annuus (common sunflower)
Lineage: Eukaryota; Viridiplantae; Streptophyta; Magnoliopsida; Asterales; Asteraceae
Source: RNAcentral